This 515-nucleotide ribosomal RNA is filed under the name uncultured bacterium. RNAcentral describes it as "partial 16S ribosomal RNA". It matches the Rfam family "Bacterial small subunit ribosomal RNA", at positions 28 to 523 of the family's 1533-position model. The record is from RNAcentral.
GAUGAACGCUGGCGGCGUGCCUAAUACAUGCAAGUCGAGCGAAUGGAUUGAGAGCUUGCUCUUAUGAAGUUAGCGGCGGACGGGUGAGUAACACGUGGGUAACCUGCCCAUAAGACUGGGAUAACUCCGGGAAACCGGGGCUAAUACCGGAUGACAUUUUGAACCGAAUGGUUCGAAAUUGAAAGGCGGCUUCGGCUGUCACUUAUGGAUGGACCCGCGUCGCAUUAGCUAGUUGGUGAGGUAACGGCUCACCAAGGCAACGAUGCGUAGCCGACCUGAGAGGGUGAUCGGCCACACUGGGACUGAGACACGGCCCAGACUCCUACGGGAGGCAGCAGUAGGGAAUCUUCCGCAAUGGACGAAAGUCUGACGGAGCAACGCCGCGUGAGUGAUGAAGGCUUUCGGGUCGUAAAACUCUGUUGUUAGGGAAGAACAAGUGCUAGUUGAAUAAGCUGGCACCUUGACGGUACCUAACCAGAAAGCCACGGCUAACUACGUGCCAGCCGCCGCCGUAA